UACGUAGGGGGCAAGCGUUGUCCGGAUUUAUUGGGCGUAAAGAGCGUGUAGGCGGCCAGAUAGGUCCGUUGUGAAAACUCGAGGCUCAACCUCGAGACGCCGAUGGAAACCAUCUGGCUAGAGUCCGGAAGAGGAGAGCGGAAUUCCCGGUGUAGCGGUGAAAUGCGCAGAUAUCGGGAAGAACACCCGUGGCUAAGGCGGCUCUCUAGUACGGUACUGACGCUGAGACGCGAAAGCGUGGGGAGCGAACAGG
Molecule: ribosomal RNA, 253 nt
Filed under: uncultured bacterium
Lineage: Bacteria
Description: partial 16S ribosomal RNA
Rfam family: Bacterial small subunit ribosomal RNA
Source: RNAcentral